This 253-nucleotide unclassified non-coding RNA is filed under the name Hevea brasiliensis (rubber tree). Lineage: Eukaryota; Viridiplantae; Streptophyta; Magnoliopsida; Malpighiales; Euphorbiaceae. The record is from RNAcentral.
CGACAACCCCACCGGCGCCGCCGCUGCCGCCUCGCCGCCGUCCGAUCUGGAUACGAUCGACCCGAUUCUCCUCCUCCUCCGCUUCCUCCCCUACGGCUUCCUCCGCCCCCCGCGCCUCCGCCUGAAGCUCCCCUCUGUCUCCCUCCCCUCCCCCAUGACCGUCUAUGCCCUCGUCCUCCUCACCUACUUCGCCGUCGUCUCCGGCCUCGUCUACGACGUCAUCGUCGAGCCCCCGGGCAUCGGCAGCACCCAG